UACGAAGGGUGCAAGCGUUAAUCGGAAUUACUGGGCGUAAAGGGUGCGUAGGCGGUUCGUUAAGUCUGUCGUGAAAUCCCCGGCUCAACCUGGGAAUGGCGAUGGAUACUGGCGAGCUAGAGUGUGUCAGAGGAUGGUGGAAUUCCCGGGUGUAGCGGUGAAAUGCGUAGAUAUCGGGAGGAACACCUAUGGCGAAAGCAGGUCUCUGGGC
This 211-nucleotide ribosomal RNA is filed under the name uncultured bacterium. RNAcentral's name for it is "partial 16S ribosomal RNA". It matches the Rfam family "Bacterial small subunit ribosomal RNA", at positions 524 to 734 of the family's 1533-position model. The record is from RNAcentral.